This 253-nucleotide ribosomal RNA is filed under the name uncultured bacterium. Its description in RNAcentral is "partial 16S ribosomal RNA". It matches the Rfam family "Bacterial small subunit ribosomal RNA", at positions 524 to 776 of the family's 1533-position model. The record is from RNAcentral.
GACGUAGGAGGCGAGCGUUGUCCGGAUUCAUUGGGCGUAAAGAGCACGCAGGCGGUUUGGCAAGUCGGAUGUGAAAACCCGAAGCUCAACUUCGGGACUGCAUCCGAAACUGCCCGACUAGAGGUAGGUAGGGGAGAUCGGAAUUCCUGGUGUAGCGGUGAAAUGCGCAGAUAUCAGGAGGAACACCGGUGGCGAAGGCGACUGCCUGGCCUGUUCUUGACGCUGAGGCGCGAAAGCUAGGGGAGCAAACGGG